CCUACGGGAGGCUGCAGUGGGGAAUCUUCCGCAAUGGGCGAAAGCCUGACGGAGCAACGCCGCGUGGGUGAAGAAGGUCUUCGGAUCGUAAAGCCCUGUUGCCCGGGACGAACGCCCCCGGCGCGAACAGCGCCGGGGGGUGACGGUACCGGGCGAGGAAGCCACGGCCAACUACGUGCCAGCAGCCGCGGUAAUACGUAGGUGGCGAGCGUUGUCCGGAAUCAUUGGGCGUAAAGGGAGCGCAGGCGGGCAUGCAAGUCCAUCUUAAAAGCGCGGGGCCCAACCCCGCGAGGGGAUGGAAACUGCGUGCCUUGAGUGCAGGAGAGGAAAGCGGAAUUCCCAGUGUAGCGGUGAAAUGCGUAGAUAUUGGGAGGAACACCAGUGGCGAAGGCGGCUUUCUGGACUGCAACUGACGCUGAGGCUCGAAAGCCAGGGGAGCGAACGGGAUUAGAUACCCGAGUAGUC
This 465-nucleotide ribosomal RNA is filed under the name uncultured Veillonellaceae bacterium. RNAcentral's name for it is "bacterial SSU rRNA". It matches the Rfam family "Bacterial small subunit ribosomal RNA", at positions 338 to 795 of the family's 1533-position model. The record is from RNAcentral. Lineage: Bacteria; Bacillati; Bacillota; Negativicutes; Veillonellales; Veillonellaceae.